This 416-nucleotide ribosomal RNA is filed under the name uncultured bacterium. RNAcentral describes it as "bacterial SSU rRNA". It matches the Rfam family "Bacterial small subunit ribosomal RNA", at positions 29 to 469 of the family's 1533-position model. The record is from RNAcentral.
AGCGAACGCUAGCGGCGGGCCUAACACAUGCAAGUCGAGCGGGGAGCAAUCCCAGCGGCGAACGGGUGAGUAACACGUGGGUAAUGUGCCUUCUGGUGGGGAAUAACCUUGGGAAACCAGGGCUAAUACCGCAUAUCGUGCUUCGGCAUGAAAGCCUUCGGGCGCCAGUAGAGCAGCCUGCGUCCCAUUAUUUAGUCCUAGUUGGUAGGGUAAUGGCCUACCAAGGGUACGAUGGGUAGCUGGUCUGAGAGGAUGAUCAGCCACACUGGAACUGAGACACGGUCCAGACUCCUACGGGAGGCAGCAGUGGGGAAUAUUGCGCAAUGGGGGAAACCCUGACGCAGCCACGCCGCGUGAGUGAUGAAGGCCUGGUUGUAAAGCUCUGUCGGGAGGGACGGAAGGGAGCGAAUACUCUG